CAGAUUAACAAUCGCUCCUUCCACGGAAGGUAUCAGAAUCAGAGGUUCCUGCAACUUAUUCUUUAUUCUUUCAAUACCCUUUUGGCAAUCAUUAUUUCACCUGACCGUUUGAUCUUUCUUUUCAACAUCCUGAAUAUGGGUUCACACGUGGCUGUUAGAUGAGAUGUGAACCAUGACAGGUAGUUCAAUCUUUCUAAGAAACCACGAACCUCUCUUUUUCUUUCUCGGUUCAGGCGUUUCUCUUAUUGUUCUUUUUUUUCUUGUUUUUUUUUUUUUUUUUUUUUUUUUUUUUUUUUUUUUUUNUUUUUUUUUUUUUUUUUUUUUUGCAGGAUGAACCUCGAUUCCUCCCUUACAAUGAACCCCAACAGCUUACGGGCCCGCACUCUGACAGU
RNAcentral lists this long non-coding RNA (392 nucleotides) under Lathyrus oleraceus (garden pea). RNAcentral describes it as "Pisum sativum (pea) long non-coding RNA (PSAT_LNC009892)". Lineage: Eukaryota; Viridiplantae; Streptophyta; Magnoliopsida; Fabales; Fabaceae. The record is from RNAcentral.